GUGGAACACUCUGGGCAGGCCUGUGGGUUUUCUUCUGGGAUAGUCUGAACUGAAGCUGGGAGGGGGCCAUAGUGCUCACUCUCUUACCUUUGUUUCCUUUGCUCUGGAUUUUAAUUUUUGUAGGAGAGAAGUCAGCCCUAGGACUGGAUCAGUUAUGAAAGGCUGUGGGGAAUUUCCUAUUACAAAUCAGAAAACAACUUAGAUGUUUUCAACGCUUAACUUCAGGGCACUUGCUCCAAGACCCUCCUGUCAACACGCAGCUUCUGUUCCACCUGAGCUCCAGCUACCUGUGAGCAGGGCCAACAUCAUGACGUAGACAAGUGGUUGGACUUGAUGAUGCCUGGAACCGAUGACACUGAAUGGCCAACAAGCCAUGGAGAGAUCUGUGACAUUUUGAAAAGGGUGUGUUGUAAAAGGUCAAAUCUUUUGUUUUCCAGUCCAAGUAGUAACAGUUCUGUUGUUUGAAACCUACAUACUCCUUAGAAGACUUGUUCUACUUAGAGUGGAAUAUUAUGCCUGGGGGUGGGGGGCUGGGGCGGGGAAGAAAUCAACACAAAGAAACUACAAAAAAGAGCAGGAAAGAAAAACAGUUAAGUGCAGCUCCUGUGAGUCCAGCAGUUUUUUUCCUCAAUGUAACAAGAGGUUAUCUGUCUGUCAAGUCUGUAGGGCCACCCUUACACACUGAAAUGGAGGUGGAUUAAAUGCAUGAAGCACCUGCUCUAACACAGAAAACUUGCAGAUGUUAUCAAGCAGUUCCAUCUGAACUUUAACAGGACAAACAAAAGGAAAUCAUCCGUAGCUGGAAACAAACAAAACUGCAAAACAAACAAAACGAAAUCCACGCGAGAAGUCCUGUGUGAUUCCAGAGUAGAAAUGGAGUGAUUUGAAAUGUCAACGCCUCCCCACCCCCAUUUGGUAAAGAAAGAAAGUACACGUCGAAAAAUUCUAAUUCCACAUGGGAACAACAAAAAACUGUCUUACCCACAGUGCCCUGCCCACAAGUCCCCUGAGCGAGGCGAGGUGGCCCCCGCGACGUCCUGGCAGCGCUGAGGAGAAGUCCGACCGCAGGGGCCUCUACCUGCCGAGAGAAUGCGCUGGCAACGUGGGUGGGAGGCAGCGUCCCCUUCUGGCACCACAGAGUUGACAUUAAAGUAAGAAAAGCUCUCCUAGUGGCCAGA
Molecule: long non-coding RNA, 1178 nt
Filed under: Felis catus (domestic cat)
Lineage: Eukaryota; Metazoa; Chordata; Mammalia; Carnivora; Felidae
Description: lncRNA (ENSFCAG00000049735.1)
Source: RNAcentral